CUUAAUAAAAUAUGCAUGUACUAUAUACAUAAGCGGACACAGUCUAAGCUGAAAGUGAAUUCAGCAAAGAGGUCACGGCAAAUGCAACAAUACAAUGAACAUAUACUAAUUUUUAGUGAAACGCAAUUAAGCAGACAGAUCACUCCACGAACUAAGAACGGCCAUGCACCACCUAUCACACAAUCAUGAAAGGACUAGCAUAUUUAAAAAUGUAAAUGAAGCUAACACAUAAAUAUAACCCGAAAGUAUAUAUAUGAAUUAGUUACUUUACGAAACACCUGUCAAUCCUCAGUGUGUCCGGACCCGGUAAGAUUUCCCGCGUUGGGUCAAAUUAAGCCACAUGCUCCACGCGUUCUUGUGGUGCCCUUCCGUCAAUUCCUUCAAGUUUCACACGUGCGU
Molecule: ribosomal RNA, 399 nt
Filed under: Foraminifera environmental sample
Lineage: Eukaryota; Foraminifera
Description: partial small subunit ribosomal RNA
Source: RNAcentral